Molecule: long non-coding RNA, 772 nt
Organism: Gorilla gorilla gorilla (western lowland gorilla)
Lineage: Eukaryota; Metazoa; Chordata; Mammalia; Primates; Hominidae
Exons: 3
Source: RefSeq, a predicted model, not a curated record
AGUUCCUUUGGUGACUCCUUUGACGUCUCUUCUUGUUCAUCUUCAGUACUGUGAGAAAGAAAUAAGUCCUCCCUCACCUCUCAUUGUGAAGAGGAAUUAUGUGACUCCGCCUCCUUAUAUCACUAUCCCUAUUCAACCCAAUCUUCCAACAAAGAUAUUUUGGUUCUUGGGAGCUUUAUCAGAAGAGCUAAAGAAGGCUUAAAAGCUGGCCCAGUCUGCAAAACUACUCUACAAGAGACCAGGCUUCAUCAUGUUGACCAGGCUGGUCCCAAAUUCCUGGGCUCAGGUGAUCCACUCGCCUCACCUCCCAAAGUGCUGGAAUUACAGGCUGAGCCACCUCGCCCGACCGAUACUUGAUUGAGUUCACCUAUCCUGAUUCCCUCAAGUGAACUUACUGGUGAAGCUUCCAGGCCUGGGCUGUCUGCCAUGCUGGUCACUGUCACAGUCAUUGUUGCCUGUCUUGUCAAACUUGCCAUUUCCUCUGGGCUCAUCAUUUUCCCUAUGAUACUCAAUAACUCGCUGCCAAUCCGUGUUUUCUGGGCUCUUAAUGGGGGGCUGCAGCAGGGCGUCGGGCUCAUUUUCAGCCUCGCUCUCUAAAGUCAGACUACUCUGAGGAUGCCAAGGAGGUACUGUGAGCUGUCCAGUAGCUGCUUUCUUUGCCAUUUCUUUCACCUCCACUGUGCACAAGAGAAAGCAGCAUUUAAAACAUCACUGUAAACAUUGGAAACACAGGCUUUCAUCUAAAAGAAAUACAUAAUACUAUUAUAACUCA